GAUGAACGCUGGCGGCGUGCCUAAUACAUGCAAGUCGAGCGAACAGAUGAGGAGCUUGCUCCUCUGACGUUAGCGGCGGACGGGUGAGUAACACGUGGAUAACCUACCUAUAAGACUGGGAUAACUUCGGGAAACCGGAGCUAAUACCGGAUAAUAUAUUGAACCGCAUGGUUCAAUAGUGAAAGACGGUUUUGCUGUCACUUAUAGAUGGAUCCGCGCCGCAUUAGCUAGUUGGUAAGGUAACGGCUUACCAAGGCAACGAUGCGUAGCCGACCUGAGAGGGUGAUCGGCCAUACUGGAACUGAGACACGGUCCAGACUCCUACGGGAGGCAGCAGUAGGGAAUCUUCCGCAAUGGGCGAAAGCCUGACGGAGCAACGCCGCGUGAGUGAUGAAGGUCUUCGGAUCGUAAAACUCUGUUAUUAGGGAAGAACAAAUGUGUAAGUAACUAUGCACGUCUUGACGGUACCUAAUCAGAAAGCCACGGCUAACUACGUG
This 497-nucleotide ribosomal RNA is filed under the name uncultured bacterium. RNAcentral describes it as "partial 16S ribosomal RNA". It matches the Rfam family "Bacterial small subunit ribosomal RNA", at positions 28 to 507 of the family's 1533-position model. The record is from RNAcentral.